CAAUAGCGUAUAUUAAAGUUGUUGCAGUUAAAAAGCUCGUAGUUGAAUUUUUGCUUGCCGCCGAUGUCGGAACUUCCGUACGUUCGGCGGCGUGCAUCCUUGGGUGGAACCUGUGUGGCAUUAGGUUGUCGUGCAGGGGAUGCUCAUCGUUUACUGUGAAAAAAUUAGAGUGUUCAAAGCAGGCUUACGCCGUUGAAUAUAUUAGCAUGGAAUAAUGAGAUAGGACCUUGGUACUAUUUUGUUGGUUUGCGCACCGAGGUAAUGAUUAACAGGGACAGUUGGGGGUAUUCGUAUUCCAUUGUCAGAGGUGAAAUUCUUGGAUUUCUGGAAGACGAACUACUGCGAAAGCAUUUACCAAGGAUGUUUUCAUUAA
RNAcentral lists this ribosomal RNA (373 nucleotides) under uncultured eukaryote. RNAcentral describes it as "partial 18S ribosomal RNA". It matches the Rfam family "Eukaryotic small subunit ribosomal RNA", at positions 592 to 976 of the family's 1831-position model. The record is from RNAcentral.